This 431-nucleotide long non-coding RNA is filed under the name Elaeis guineensis (African oil palm). RNAcentral's name for it is "long non-coding RNA (EGUI_LNC022856)". Lineage: Eukaryota; Viridiplantae; Streptophyta; Magnoliopsida; Arecales; Arecaceae. The record is from RNAcentral.
UAGAUAGAGUCGCUAUAGAAGAGAAGAAAUGAGUGAGGAGAAAGGAGAGGGAGAAAAAUUUUUUAUCGAUGAGAAUGGGUGGAUGUAGAGAGGGCCAUCUAAAAAGAUAGGGUUUAUUGAUUGGUUUGAAGGAAAAAAAGGAUGAGGAGAAAGAGAAUGAGGAAGAGGAGGAGCAGAGACGGGUUGCCAGCAAAAAAUGACGUAGAGGAGGAGGAUAAGGAAGAGAAGAGGAUGGAUAGGAAAAAAAUAGGAAAGGCAAAAAGGGAUGGAGGUGGAGGAAGCUAUCGUGGAGAGGAAUGGUUUAUAGGCGGCUUGGAGGAAGAGGAUAAAGAGGAGAAGUAGAUGGAGAUGAAGGAGAGAAAAUGGAGGAAUGGAUGGAUAAAGGGAUGGAGGAGAAACGAGGAGGGAGAAAAAGGAGGAAAGGGAGGAGG